UAUACAUACACAUAUAAAUUUAUAUGUAUGUAUCUAUAGAAUGUGAUUUGAUGAUGUGUGUUUGCUGAUUUUGGUGCAGAUACAACUUCGUACUGUUCCCAGGGGAUGUAUUGAAGAUGGGGAUGCCAACUUAUAGCUUUUCAGUUCAAACAUCACAUUUGACUUCCAUGGUGGAAGAAGGUUUUGAUUUCAAUGCCUGCAUAUAUAAUGGAGCGUGGAUUACAUUCUGCAGAUUUGAUUUCAUUCCUGGUGGAACUUAGUUUUCAUGUUAAUGGCGAGGCAUAUAACAUAAAUUACAUUGAAUGAAAGGCAAAAAAAUAUGGUUAAGGAUCUUGCAGAUUUGGGACUGAUCAAACUUCAGCAGGGAAGGAAAGACGGUUUAUACCUACUAACGUGGCUACUAAUCUUUUAGUUAGCUUGACAGACUCAUCAUCGAGGAAACAAGUUGGUUAUUUGGAUUUGUUAGUGGAAACAAACUCAGGCUCUAUGCCUACUCAAUAUCCAAACUACAUAGUGAAAUUUUAUGUCUUUUCCUAGCUGUUUUCCCCUUUUAGGGGCGGAUCGACGGUGGGUCAAAGUUGGUCAGUUGACCACAUGGACGCUGGAAAGUUGGCUGGGGAGAGCACCCAAAUUGUUUCUCGCAUCUUGGAUAAGGCACUGAAGGCAAUGCUGUCUCCUGAUUUCAGCCUUUGUCUCUGCUUAAUUCCAGAAAGAGUGUUGGCUUGCAAGUGUAGUCUAGGCAGGCACAAAAGAGAUCACUGCUUAGCCAAAAGAAAUUGAAGAUGCAAAACUGGUAAUUGAAGCUUUAAGAAGUAAAGGUGUUUCUGCAAUUGGUGUUGUAAGCUUUUGUUGGGGCGGAUUAUUAAGGUCUAGAAAAGUUGUAGCCUUAGAUGGACCAACUAUCUGAGGCCAGACUUGAAGAGAGGUCUUUUAUCAUAAUAUGAGGAGAAGAUAUGUGGGACAAAGAGGUUUGCAUGGAAGAUGAGAAGACGAUCUCUGUGUCCCUCGAAACAAGUAUUUCGGGAAGCUCGAUGAUUCGACUAUGUUUCGCGAACAAGCAGUGGCACAUAUUUAGACAGGGCUUGGUGAGGCAGACCCCAGAUGAUGUAUGCCUACACUAGCAUGACCAAGGUGGUUAACCCUGCUGGCUGGAGCGAUGAUAAGCACCCUGAAUGUAACAAAAAUGGAUGGUUCAUGGAUUGCAGUUGGCACGACCAUGGCCACGACCACGAAGAGGAGACAUUGUUGGCGAUAUCGAAGCUCCUAAAGGAAUUGACCGAGGAGGAGGACAUGAAAGUACAGAUUUGGAUUUCAUCAGCACGACCAAGAUCAUGAGCAUUUUGAUUGUCUGCAGCUCUCAGUUUUUGGUCUCCACAAUUGUUCAGGUUGUCGGCAUUAUUCUUUCCUUGCACGCAGCUACUAAAAUUUCCAGUAGAGCCCAAGGUAUAGCAACAAUUGCCAGUAGAUGGCAUACGUUAAUGAUAUGCAGUUCUAAUGAUUCACCGCAUACCAGAAGUUCAGACAGUUUGGUGAACUUUGAGGCUGCCAACAGAUUGAGCUCACUGCAUAUAAGUUACUCUGAGAGUGAUUUGGAGUCAACGGAUUAUGUUCAUGUGCCUACAAAUUCCCAGCUGGUUUCACAUAUGGCUUCAUACCACAAGAGACAAGCUUUUGGUAUGCAUCAGCUUAUGCUGUUUCAGUAUUUUCUGUUUGAAAAGAUGGCUCUUUUGGUCGUCAUUUAUGGUUUUCGUUUGUUCAUUUCCCAUGGUUCAGUCUUACUGAUUGUUGAUUGUGGCUCAUACUCUAUUUAUAUUUCUCUGUAAACUGCUAAUUUUGGAAUAUACUAUCGUUUCCUUGCUGGUACAUUAAAAUGAAAAUAUGAAAAGUAGUCUCAAUCUCGCCUGGGGGUGUUGCAGGCUGAUUCAAUGCUACGAGGCACUUCGUUUAGUACUAUCUGAGGGAGAGGUGUUGGGUGUCUGAGACUGCAAAACCAAAUUAUUUAUGGAAUUUAUAACAUGCAAUCAGUUUUUUUUUUUAAGUUUAGUUCAAAUAAUGUUGAUUGCACUGUUAUAAAGCUUUCUUUUAUAGUUAGGUUGAAAAUCAUAUAGAUAUAUUCUUUAUUUA
Molecule: non-coding RNA, 2124 nt
Organism: Malus domestica (apple)
Lineage: Eukaryota; Viridiplantae; Streptophyta; Magnoliopsida; Rosales; Rosaceae
Source: RefSeq, a predicted model, not a curated record